This 442-nucleotide ribosomal RNA is filed under the name uncultured bacterium. Its description in RNAcentral is "partial 16S ribosomal RNA". It matches the Rfam family "Bacterial small subunit ribosomal RNA", at positions 338 to 795 of the family's 1533-position model. The record is from RNAcentral.
CCUACGGGAGGCAGCAGUGGGGAAUAUUGGGCAAUGGGCGCAAGCCUGACCCAGCAACGCCGCGUGAAGGAAGAAGGCUUUCGGGUUGUAAACUUCUUUUAAGAGGGAAGAGCAGAAGACGGUACCUCUUGAAUAAGCCACGGCUAACUACGUGCCAGCAGCCGCGGUAAUACGUAGGUGGCAAGCGUUGUCCGGAUUUACUGGGGGUAAAGGGCGUGCAGCCGGGAAGACAAGUCAGAUGUGAAAUCCCGCGGCUCAACCGCGGAACUGUAUUUGAAACUGUUUUUCUUGAGUACCGGAGAGGUCAUCGGAAUUCCUUGUGUAGCGGUGAAAUGCGUAGAUAUAAGGAAGAACACCAGUGGCGAAGGCGGAUGACUGGACGGCAACUGACGGUGAGGCGCGAAAGCGUGGGGAGCAAACAGGAUUAGAUACCCUGGUAGUC